Mauremys mutica (yellowpond turtle) is the source of this 72-nucleotide non-coding RNA. NCBI's taxonomy places the organism in Eukaryota, Metazoa, Chordata, Testudines, Geoemydidae. The record is from the annotation of a RefSeq genome assembly.
GUGGGUAUAGUUCAGUGGUAGAACAUUUGACUACAAAUCAAAUAGUCCCUGGUUCAAAGCCCGGUACCUCCU